Molecule: long non-coding RNA, 635 nt
Organism: Pleuronectes platessa (European plaice)
Lineage: Eukaryota; Metazoa; Chordata; Actinopteri; Pleuronectiformes; Pleuronectidae
Exons: 3
Source: RefSeq, a predicted model, not a curated record
CGUAAAAACCCUAUUUGUAAACAACCAGUCCUUUAACUCAACGCUGCGUCAUAAACACGGAGCGCUUGGAAGACCACGAUGUCAUCUUCCUUCUGUCAGGAGGAUCAAAGUGAAGCUACAGGAGUUUCAUUAACGUCAACAACUUGGACCAAACAGUUUGUUUUGCUUGAUGAAGAGCAGGAAGGGCAGCCUGGAGAGAAAGAGAAGCCGGGUUGAGCCCACUACCAUCAUCCACGUACCACGAGGAAGAUGAGGGAGAGAAAUGAUCCUACCAUUAAAGAGACUGUGAAAAGAACGUUGAGAACAUCACCACUCUACAGGAAGACACAGUCCAGUAAUGGGUGUCAGAAGUUCAGUAGUGAACGACAGGUACUGUGGGAAAAUGUGUGUCAUUGUUGUACAAUGUCCUUUGACUCUGUUUAAACAAGGUCAACACAAAAAGGUUUGAUUGUAAACUGAUAUUGGUAUGAAUUCAUGUUAUUCUCCUCUUCACAAGAAACAAACAAUCAAAAUUACGUGCAGAACACCCUUGAUGGACGCUUCAGCUGCAUCGUCAGACUGGUGAGACAGCAAGAUGCCAACUUUAAUGCCAAUUUAUUUGUGUAACAUUCUGUGACCAAAUGUAUAGAUAACUU